This 440-nucleotide ribosomal RNA is filed under the name uncultured bacterium. RNAcentral's name for it is "bacterial SSU rRNA". It matches the Rfam family "Bacterial small subunit ribosomal RNA", at positions 338 to 795 of the family's 1533-position model. The record is from RNAcentral.
CCUACGGGGGGCAGCAGUGGGGAAUAUUGGACAAUGGGCGAAAGCCUGAUCCAGCAAUGCCGCGUGUGUGAAGAAGGUCUUCGGAUUGUAAAGCACUUUCGACGGGGACGAUGACGACGGUACCCGUAGAAGAAGCCCCGGCUAACUUCGUGCCAGCAGCCGCGGUAAUACGAAGGGGGCUAGCGUUGCUCGGAAUGACUGGGCGUAAAGGGCGCGUAGGCGGUUUAUGCAGUCAGAUGUGAAAUCCCCGGGCUUAACCUGGGAACUGCAUUUGAGACGCAUAGACUAGAGGUCGAGAGAGGGUUGUGGAAUUCCCAGUGUAGAGGUGAGAUUCGUAGAUAUUGGGAAGAACACCGGUGGCGAAGGCGGCAACCUGGCUCGAUACUGACGCUGAGGCGCGAAAGCGUGGGGAGCAAACAGGAUUAGAUACCCGAGUAGUC